RNAcentral lists this ribosomal RNA (274 nucleotides) under uncultured bacterium. RNAcentral describes it as "partial 16S ribosomal RNA". It matches the Rfam family "Bacterial small subunit ribosomal RNA", at positions 523 to 796 of the family's 1533-position model. The record is from RNAcentral.
AUACGAAGGGUGCAAGCGUUAAUCGGAAUUACUGGGCGUAAAGCGCGCGUAGGUGGUUCAGUAAGUUGGAAGUGAAAUCCCCGGGCUCAACCUGGGAACUGCUUUCAAAACUGCUGAGCUAGAGUACGGUAGAGGGUGGUGGAAUUUCCUGUGUAGCGGUGAAAUGCGUAGAUAUAGGAAGGAACACCAGUGGCGAAGGCGACCACCUGGACUGAUACUGACACUGAGGUGCGAAAGCGUGGGGAGCAAACAGGAGUAGAUACCCCUGUAGUCC